Molecule: long non-coding RNA, 5206 nt
Organism: Rattus norvegicus (Norway rat)
Lineage: Eukaryota; Metazoa; Chordata; Mammalia; Rodentia; Muridae
Source: RefSeq, a predicted model, not a curated record
AAAUGCUCUGAUAUUUUUAUUGAAUCAGAGUCAAGCUUCCCAUCUGGAGUCCUCCCCAGUAGUUGGCACCAGCAGGCACUGGGCACACAGAAUCCCACAAGACUGAAAAUUCACAUUGCUUGCCAUAAAGAUUCGGUGUGGAGCUCAGUGACAGGUCACUGAGCCAGUGUGUAGAGGCCUUGGAGUUGAUUAAAACUAAAGUCACUUGUUUGAUUCAGUUCCUCCUAUCAAGUUCUUCCACUUUAUUGGUCUGUAAUUUUUCUUUCCAAAAGAUUUAUUAGUUUGCCUUUGUUAACUUUUGUUCUCUAGUGUGGUUUCUGGGUUUAAUCUUAGACAGUCUUUAUUACUGUUGUAGUAUUUGUCUUUUAAUUUUUGUUACAUUCAAUUGUUUGUUUAAUGGGAGGGGCCAUGCUAGGAUCUACAAGUGGAGGUCAGAAUACAACUUGCAAGAGUCAGUUCUCUCCUUCCGUGAUGGGUCAGGGAUUGAACUCAAGUGGUCAGGCUGGGUAGCAAGCAUCACUUUUACCUCCUGAGCCAUCUAAUCUGUCAUACUCUUCUUGCUUCUUGCCCUGGGGAUUUUUUUCAUUCAUUCCUCAUAGAAGUGUUUAAAGUAUGUGGUGGGCCCUUCAUCCAAGGAUGUCUUUCCUGUUUCCUGGAACGUGUGAGCAUGUUCCUUCACAUCAUAGAUGAGGAUUACAGCAUAGAAAGACUGCUAAUGUGCAAAGCCUUUGGGUGAAGACGAUCCAAGUUAUCUAAUGGACCUAGUCCAGUCAAUAGGGACUGUCUUCUAGCACCUCUGAGCAUGUUCCUGACCCAGCAGAAGCCAGGACAGAAUGAGAAGUGUCAACAGCAAGUUAUACAGAUACUCUCUGCCAGGCUGACAAAGAACUAGAACAAAAGAGCAGACAGUGCCUAACCUGAUAAAAUGUCCAGCCUCUGACUCUGUGUGCCUCAGUUUCCUAAUUUGUAAUAUGAGUACAGCAAUAGUGUCUACUGGAGCACGAGGCAAUCCUGAGCCUGAAUUCCCCUCCCUGAUGUAUCUGCUUCACUGCACUGUUCUGACUGGCUCUUUCAGGAUGGCAUGACUUUGGGUCAUAAAAGGACAGAUGUCCAACCUAGCACAGUGGCGCAGACACAGAGAUGAAAGGCAGCCUUGUUAAGAAGAGUCCAGGUGGCCUCGCACAGAAAACUGAGCAGGUGGGCCAGUGGCCAAGACUUAGACUUGUGUUUACAUAGUAUAUCUAGCUCUCUCAGAAGAAGAAUACAUCCUAGCUAGCCUACUAAUCCAAGGACAGAAGAUACCCCUUCCAACAACCUUACACUGUGGACAGUGGAACGAACCACUGCAGAGAACUUAGCAGGCAGCCUCCCUCCACCUUGCCUUAUGGUCCAGUUCAGAACCCCUGUCAUCAACAUUCCCCAGUACCCAGCUCUGUGACAUCACAAUCUUCUGCCCACACAGACAGCAGGUGACAGAAGCUUAAAGGUGGAGCCUUGCUAUGAAAGUUCCCCACCAUCAGUUUUCAGAGGACCAUGUUCUGAAAUGGAAUGAGAGUAAUGGAAGAGAAAGUGAAGCCACUGAAGUCCUGCUAUUCCUCUUGGCUGUGACACCUGGACAAGUCACAAUUCUAAGCCUGGGUUCCCCCUGAAAACAGUGGGAUACAAUCCUGCAUCACAUAUACAGAAGAGACAAAUGAAAAACAAGCCUCAGAUGUCAAAGGACCUGCCCUAGAUGAUCAAUGGACAUCAGUAUGCCUGGCACUGAGACUGAUUCUCUUCCCAUUAACUUGAAUGGCAAAGACAUAAAUGAGGCUGGAGUAAAAACCCACUGGCCGAAGGAAGACUGGAAAGGAUUGAGUGUCACUCAACAGAGAAGGUCCAGGCAUUAAUUCAACAAGGAGUAGACACCCACUCUUGCCCUGAGUUAUGGUAUGACCAGGGAUCCAAAGGUCAUGUUGAUUUAUCCCUGUCUCUGAGAGCAGAAACAUCACUCCUGUUCACUGCAGGAUUCUCAGGACUUCACGCAGGACUUGGCACCAGUAAAUCCUCCAUAAAUAUUUGUCUGCAAGUACCCAUGGAUUCUUUGCCUGCUUUUGCACAGGACCAGAGCAGGAUAAAUCCAAGUUCGCUCAUCCCACCAAUGUCCAUGAAACUAGGCACAAUGGGAGCCACACUCAGAAUACCACAGGCCUUGGCAGAGGGCCUGAGCUCAUACAAAUGACUAAAUUCUAGGUGAGGCUAGAAUACAAUAAAGCUGUGAGCAGUGGAACAAGGGUCCCGACAGUGAAAGAAGUAAGGUGAGCAGGCCAGACAGGGUUAGAGAAGGAAGCCUGUAAACAAAGGCUUGAAGUGCUAGGGAGGUUGGGAAGGGGGGAGCACUGCUCUGUGGACAUUUGCUGACAGAACAUGAAGCAGAACAAGAAGAGCAAGUGUUCCUGCCUGCUGGAACUGAGGGGAAGGGAAAGAGGAGGAGACAGCCCUGGUCAGAUAGGUAAAGGCAAGGUGAAGGCACUUACUUCUCCAGAGGAGACCCAGGGAAGGACAGGUUCUUACCCUGUGUGGUGCAGGAGGCUGCUCUAUUUUGUUUUUUCUAUUGUCAUGAGAAACAAGCACAAGCAAAAGCAAUAUGGGGAGAAAACAGUUUAUUUUAGUUUACAGAUUUACAUUUCAUCCUCAAGGGAAAUCAAGGUAGGAGGGCCUCUUCGGGGACAACUGAAGCCAGAAAUAUGGAGAGCUGCUGCUUACUGGAUUGCUUCCCCCCACUUUAGUUGGGCUAGCUUUCUUUCACAAUCCAGGAUCACCUCUCCAAGGGUGGCACUGCACACACAUUUGCUGGACCCUCCUACACCAACUAUCAGUCAAGAAAAUGCCCCAACAGUUGGCCUGCAGGCCAGUCUGAUGGGAACGAUUCCUUAAUGUUCUGUGUUCCCAAGUAUGUCAAAUUGACAGCCAUCACUGGAGGUACUAGCAGGUUGUGUGGACAGAAGUGACAUACUCUGACUCAUUCAAAGAAAACCAACUGGAAGGAGCAAGAGCAGUCAAUGCAGUAACCCAGGGAGUGAGGUGAGAGGGGUAGGGGGACGGGAAAGGUAGGUGAGAAGCCAGAGCCAGAGCCCAGCAGUGAUACCAGAGAAUAGACCUAGUGUGCUGUGAUUGACAUUCAACAACUACAUCAGAAAUUUCCAAAGUGGAUCCUGUGAGAUCAUGGGCCUGCCCCUUUAAGAUUCUGGUCACCCAGAGGCCACAUCCCAUGGCUUGAAAUCAGGACUGACCACCCCUACACUCUCAAUCUCCACCCCUUACCUCCAUCACUGUGGAAACAGAGAAUUAAGAAGUCCCACUGUGCCUAAUAGCCUCUAAUUUCUAGUCUUGCCUGCUACCUGGUACCUCAAUGUGUUUUGUCACAUAGGCAUAGACUAUGUUGACUUCACUUUCACACAGUGUGAACCUUCCUGCUACCCCCAAAAGGAUAGAAAGUCAGUUAUUGGACUUUUCCCUGAAUUGUCUCUGGGCCUCCCUGCAUCACAUUGUCCAUGGUGGUGCGCUCUCUCUCUCUCUCUCUCUCUCUCUCUCUCUCUCUCUCUCUCUCUCUCUCUCUCUCUCUCUCUCUGAUAUUGUUCUCAAUGGAGCUUCUUCCCAGGUUUUAAAGGGAAGCCUCUCUCUCUCUCCCUUUAAAGACCUAUCAUGCAGUAUCUGACAGAAUCUCUGUGCCUUUCUAAUGUUCUCCCACAUCAAGGCUCAAUAGUAGACCACAUGGUCUUGAAGCCAUCUCUCCUAAUACAGUCAAUUCAUGAAGGCAUUUUCACGCCAGUUCUUUUCCUAAACCAGCCAACCUGUCUGUCAUCCUUUUUCUCUAACACAGCUUAUUCACAGACAAGAGGGAUCUAGAACAGGACAUGACAGAGAGAGGGGAGACUGAAAAUAAGCUAGAUUUACAACCUUGGGACAUCAGAGCCUUGGGAAGAUGAUAUAGUUAACCAGCUAUGUUGCUGGUGUGACCCUUAGUUCAGAGACAGGGAUGAGCUAGCCCUCAGACACAUAGCAAUUAACAGUGAGGCAAGGACUCUGUGAGCUUCACAAUCCUGCUCCCUUGAACCUAGGCCCAAUUGGAAUAAAAUGAAAUGAAGGAGGGCAUGAGAAAAGGGGACAGUGGGCAGAGGGACUGAUCAUGAACACCCAUUGUCACCACCACAGCUUCAAUGGACAAGGAAACUGGUGUUCCUCCGGAUUAAACUGUUUUUCUUGCUUUUCUGAUGAGAAAUGAAGUCUCAGAUACCACAGGCCCACCCAGUGCACACCCUUCAAAAGCAGGAGAUAACUCUCCUAAAAACCUGUGCACACUCAGCAUGCACUAAAGUUCUCUGUCCUCUGAUCUGGCAAAAUGAACAGACACGUGUCACCUAGAGUCCUGGCUCAUUCAGGAAAGAGCCCAGCCAGUGAGCUGUAAGAAACACCACCCCCAUCACCACCCGCUGACUGAAGGAGGAGCACCAGGGUACAGUCUUGUCACCCUUCUACAGACAGGUGAACUUUGGACAGUGAAGAAGGGUGACCGGCCCUCAGAGUGGAGGAACUGGACAGUUGGAGUUGCUUCAGGAGGCCACAGGAAACCAAAGAGCCCAGGUGCCAGUGGCUGGGUGGGGGCACCAGUGUGACCCACUGCUUAAACAACAAUGGGCUUCUGGAGUUGGAGCUGCACAGCCAGGUACCCAAUACCUUUUCCUCUUUCCAACACCGCCAAAGCAUGGCAUCCAACAUCUUCUGUUGCUGUUACAAGGCCAGUGAUUCAACUAGCAACAGUGCCAGUCACCUCUCUACAAGAGUGGCCCAACAGAAUCACCCACUGUGGGGCAGAUGCUUCAUAACACCAGACAGAAGAACUGGUAUGAACAGAAAUGCUCCUCAAAGGGGUAUUCAAAGGAGACACUCAUUCAACCUCUCAAACAACUGGAUUAAGCUAUGCAGCCUCAGGAGACCCUGAAGGUUCUAGAGGCAGCAGGCCAUGGUCUCUGAGCUGUGCAGCUGCUGGAGGGUCUCCAUGAGGAUGAAGAAGGCAGUGGACAGGAGUCAUGAAGACUGAUUCAGAAACUCCACCGCAAGGAGGGAAGAGGUCUGAGCCAUCCCUGUGCCACCAGCACGAGUCACCCCAGCUCCUGACAGCCAGGGAGGGGGGCUGCCUGCAAUUAAAGUCCUUGUUUGCAUCAGA